UGGGUCUGGGGAUAUCUCCGGGGGUUGGCAGCAGCCUCGGACCAUCUCUGAUCACAAAGGCAAACAAUGUGGAGAGGAGGGGCCUUCGUGUCUGCCCCUUGACUGGCUACGGAAGAGGUUGCGGAGCAGCACCCCACUACUUCUUCUGCCUCUUGUCUGUACCCACUCCUGAGGAACCAAUACUUGGGGAUUCCAGAGACUGAAGAAACAGUAGGAGAUAACCUGACUGAGCCUAUGCAGCAAGCUGACAUCAGAAGGGGAGUCCAACCAAGGCAGCACCCUGAACAUGAACAGCCAGACACAGACGCUUCAAAGGGGAUACCAAGAGAUUCUCAAUUCCCCCUCUCUGGGAAUUAACCCAUCCAAAGAAGAAAAACAAACAAAAAAACUAGCAUUGGAGACUCUUCAAGGAAGCAGCCCAACCAGGUCACUCUAAAUAAAAAACCCAAGUAAACAAAGCCAAUUUAUG
Mustela erminea (ermine) is the source of this 469-nucleotide long non-coding RNA. RefSeq lists it as uncharacterized. Lineage: Eukaryota; Metazoa; Chordata; Mammalia; Carnivora; Mustelidae. The record is from RefSeq and is a predicted model, not a curated record. The transcript is spliced from 4 exons.